CUUCUUCCGUUUUUUUUUUUGCUGAUUGGCCUGACUUACCAUUUCUUUGCAUGUUAUAUUCUUUUUUAAAAGAGAUGUUUGUCAACAGGAAACAGCUUCCAGUCAUUACACUUCGAAUAUUUACUUGGUGCUACGACUGUCAGAGAAGUAGUGACACAUGUGAUAAGUUAUGGAAAUACCUCCAACCUAUUUAUAUGCCA
Long non-coding RNA from Schistocerca piceifrons (Central American locust), 200 nucleotides. RefSeq lists it as uncharacterized. The record is from RefSeq and is a predicted model, not a curated record. The transcript is spliced from 2 exons. NCBI's taxonomy places the organism in Eukaryota, Metazoa, Arthropoda, Insecta, Orthoptera, Acrididae.